ACAGAACAUUACUCCUGUGUUUGUGGUGAUGCUGAUGUAGACAAACCUGCACUGCCAGUUGUAUGAGACGACAGCAUAUACAAUUAGGAUGUGAGCAAGAGGAGAGAAGCCUGAGGACAGAAGCUUAGAGAAACUCAAACUCCUAACUGUCAUAUAGAAGAGAAUCCUUUUUAGACUGACUGAGGAACGACCAGAACUGUGAGAGGCAGAAUGGCAGGCUUAGUUUCCUGGUGCCCCAUGGCUGUGGGAAUCAUCACAAUCUAUUGUUGAUGGCAGCGACAGCCCAUCCAGAGUGGCUGCUGUGAAAAAGCUGGCUGCAGCGGGGGAGGUGCGGCCGGGGUUGCACGCUCCAUGGGGCCAGAGGGAGCCCAGAACAGGGGGAGCCCCAACCCCACCGAGUUUGCGACAGAAGCCCACUCUCUCGGUCAGGAUGCAGCCACCCAGCCACAGCUCCAAACCCAGGACAAAAAUAGGAGCUAAAUGAGGAGAGGAAAAAAAACAGAGAAGACAUUUCUAUGAAGAAUGCAAGUUCUCUACAGAAAACUAUCUAGGGAAAUUUAGAACAAUUUGUUAAUCUUUCUAAACUUCAUUGCCUUUUCCUACAAAGUGAAAUAAUGAAAUUUUCCUGAGGAUAAAGGAGAUAAUCCAUUUGCACUUCCUGAUGCAUAGAAAGCACUUAAUAAAUUCUGAAUGCUACUGUUAUUGUUGAUUUCCAGUGGGGAGAUGGAAGAAGCAGCAGCUCUGGUCCAAGUUCAACUAUAUCAUCUCUUCCUUCCUUUUACUUCAUUUUCCCUCUCUUCACAGAAAUCUUACAAUUCUGUUUUUUGAUGUGUGAUUAUCUAAAUGGAAUACCAGGUAGUAUGUUAAUUUAGUAACAAAAGAAAGUAGGCCUUUUGGGUUAGCAUUUGAUGCUGUAGUUGAUUCAAUCCCUCUCACUCUUUACAUUAGACACAGGAAAUUAGCAGGGUCCCCUUUUAAUGGAAAACAUUUUCUUGCUAAAUCUGUAUUGCUUUCCAAUUUAGGCCCUUGUCAUUGUGUUCCCACAAAUGACACAAUUUAACAGUGCAUGGGUGGAUUCUCUAGAGACUGAGAAGGUUCAUGAAAAUAUUCAUAAGAGAGGUGUGUCAUUUCCCCUCAGCACUACCCACUGCACCCAAAUUAGAAAGACAAACUCCCAGCAGAUGGGUCUCCUGGCCUCUUUCCAAUACAUAAUUUAAAUUGUUUUUCAAAGACACUACAAAUCAAAAGCUGACUGAUGCUGCAAACAAUUUAUGUGUUUCAGAGAAUCAAGUGACAAGGUCAGUGUACAGCACUGCUUUAAUUAUUAUGCCUUUUAAUGACUUGCUUUUUAGUGUGAUAGCUUGUAGAAUGAGUAGUUUCGGGUUUUCUUGGAAUGUAAUAAAACAUUUCUUACUUUCUGCCAUCUAUCCAGUCAGAUGGACUGUGGCUAACCCCUAACAACAGUGCAGUGGCCCAUAAGAAAUGUUUCAGGUUUUAAUUCAGUUCCUUAACGGAGAACCAACUACUUUACACAACCCAUCACCCAAAGUAUGACCAUUUGGACUGAAGAAAUAAUAGCUAGAAGUGGCCUUGCAUCUGCAUUAUUUAACGUUUCAGUCACUAUCCUAAAUUACAGCAGAAGAAACACGCUUAUUAAGUUUGCAUAGAAAGCCAGGCUGGGAAGGAAUGCAGAGGAUAGCGUCUGAGAAAACAUUUACCAGCUCUCUAUGAUCAUGUCCAUUUGGAUCCUUUAUCAAAAGCAACACAGCUAAACUCAGUAAAGAGAGAACAGACAGCAGGAUGGAAAGAGAAGAUGGAACAGCUCUGAACUAGUCAGAAGCUCUGCAGUCAAAGACUGAACUCUGGCAUUUGCUACAUACAUGUACAUCUUGAGCACAUCACUUUGCUUUUAUAUCUUAGUAUAUCUUAAUUUGCCAACUAUAAAGAGUGAUAAAAAUGCCCUGCCACGCCUAUUUGCUAGACUUUUGUGAAAAUUAAACUGCAUCUUACUAAUUUUCAAAAUAAAAUCAUGAAAGACAUGCAUUUCAAUCUCUGAGGUUAAGGUUACCUUCCCUGGAGAAAGUCUUUUUUUUCUUUACAAUGCAAAUGAUUUCUUGUAUUUCAAUAGUUUUUGGAGUACAGGUGGUUUUUGGUUACACAGAUAAGUUCUUCAGUGGUGAUUUCUGAGAUUUUGAAAGCACCUACCACCCAAGCAGUGUACACUGUUCCCAGUAAGUAGUCUUUUAUCCCUCGCUCCCCUCCCAGCCUUACCCCUCAAGCCCUUAAAGCCCAUUAUGUCACUCUUAUGCCUUUGCAUCCUCAUAGCUUAGCUGCCACUCAUAAGUGAGAACAUGCACUAUUUGGUUUUCCAUUCCUGAAUUGCUUCACUUAGAAUAAUGGCCUCCAGCUCCAUCCAAGUUGCGCAAAAGACAUUGUUUCGUUUAUUUUUAUGGCUGAGUAGUAUUCCACGGUAUAUAUAUACCAUGUUUUCUUUAUCCACUCAUUGGUCAAUGGACACUUAAGUUGGUUCCAUAUCUUUGCAAUUGCAAAUUGUGCUGCUAUAAACACGUGUGUGCAUGUGUCUUUUUCAAAUAAUGACUUCUUUUUCUGGAAAAAGUCUUAUUGAGGAAAUUAUAUUUGUGGAAGGUUAUUAGAUUACUAUCACACCCCAUAUUUGCUAUAUGUACCGUCCUAUGUAUGCGGCCACCUCUUAACCCUUCUCACCCAGGCCCUCCUGCAGCUUAACAUAACACUUGUACACUGACAACUCCCAAACACUUAUCACCAGGCCCAGGCUCUACUCUAAACUUCAGUCUAACUGACAUCCAACUUAGACGUCUAAGAAGCAUAGAAAAUUUUAUGUAAUAACAGUAGUAAUUGCAGUGAUCACAUGGACGCAGGGAUGGGAACAUCACACACCGGGGCGUGUCGAGGGGUGAGGGGCAAACGGAGGGAGAGCAUUAGGACAAAUACCUAAUUCAUGCAGGGCUUAAAACCUAGAUGAUUGGUUGAUAGGUGUGGCUAACCACUAUGGCACAUGUAGACCUAUGUAACAAACCUGCACAUUCUGCACAUGUAUCCUGGAAGUUAAAGUAAAAUAAAAUAUAAUAAUAAUUACAGUGAUCACAAUAGCAUCUACAGUCUAUUGGACACUGACUUUAUACCAAGCACUAUGCUACAUACAUUUUAAAUAUCAAUUUAUUUUUCUUGCCCUGGCAAGACCACUCCUCCUCCCUUAACACUACCCUUGGCAGAAUAGUAAAAGGGGCCCACCAAUCCUUGAGUGAUUCUUCUACAUCUCUUUGAUAAUGAAUAAUUGCCAGAGAUGGUUCAAGUAGGUGCAUCUUAAAGCCAGAUAAUUAUCUUGUGCUCACUUUUUUCUC
Molecule: long non-coding RNA, 3383 nt
Organism: Pongo pygmaeus (Bornean orangutan)
Lineage: Eukaryota; Metazoa; Chordata; Mammalia; Primates; Hominidae
Exons: 5
Source: RefSeq, a predicted model, not a curated record